UUGGCUCCUGUGUUUGCAUAGCAUGGUGAUGAGUAUUAAAGGUUCAUUCUACCCCUUACACUCCCAAGUGCAGAGCUUUAGCUCAGGCUAUAGUUGCUCAUUUUUAGCUCCAGAGGCAACUGAUUCAGUUCCUGGUGUGUUGUUGCUGCACUUGCUUAGGGGCCUUACUUGGGAAUUUCCAGUGGAGGUAGCUAUGCUGCUCCAACAGAGGUGCUUGCUGUAAGCUUGGAUGGGCCAAAGAAGGAACUGCUUAGCCUGAGAAGAGCUAAGACCAAUGUCUUCUGCCCUGCAUCAAUGAGGUAGGAGAUAUUUGAGCCCAGGGAGGACAAAGCUCUGUUUUGUUUUGACCUGUCUUAUGUUACCCAGGAGGACCAAAGCUUGAACAAACUGACCUGACUGACCCUGCUGCAGAGCCGCUUCUCCCUCCUUAACCCAGGGGAUGGAAGGCAAAGCUGACACAGACUGAAAACUGUAAACUCAAGCUUUGGACAAAUGUAACCAUCAACCAUUUUAAAAUGCUUCCAGCUUGGUAACUGCUCUUGCAUUUGUGAAUCAAGCUGGGUUCCUUCCACUUCAGGUAUCAUCAUCACCAGAAUUAGACAAUCCUGAGGUCAGUGAUGGAGUGUCCGGGGAGGCUGAAGUGUUCUGCCCCAGGCUUUUAUCAGGCACAUCAGACUGCAAAGACUGGAUCCUGCCACUGCAUCUUUUUGGAUACAGCCCUGUGCCCUGUGUAACAUAAGUGCGCCUUAGAAGAUCUAGAACUAAGUUUGCUCCCUCUGGAUUUUGUUACUGCAAAGGGGAAUAGUGCAUGGGUGCCAAGAGCAAAACAAACGUGAGGCCCAAACACUUGCACACACCCCUAUUGGUUCAAAAUAAUAGCAGCUGGCUAUGGUUAAAAGGAAAUUACAGCACCAGACAUAGGAGGUGAGUCAUAUUGUGACAGGGUGGACAGCUGUAGCCUUGUUUGCCCUCAUUUGGCUUGGCAUGC
Long non-coding RNA from Gavialis gangeticus (Gharial), 988 nucleotides. RefSeq lists it as uncharacterized. The transcript is spliced from 4 exons. NCBI's taxonomy places the organism in Eukaryota, Metazoa, Chordata, Crocodylia, Gavialidae. The record is from RefSeq and is a predicted model, not a curated record.